RNAcentral lists this ribosomal RNA (466 nucleotides) under uncultured bacterium. RNAcentral describes it as "partial 16S ribosomal RNA". It matches the Rfam family "Bacterial small subunit ribosomal RNA", at positions 28 to 507 of the family's 1533-position model. The record is from RNAcentral.
GAUGAACGCUGGCGGCGUGCUUAACACAUGCAAGUCGAACGAUGAAGCCCAGCUUGCUGGGUGGAUUAGUGGCGAACGGGUGAGUAACACGUGAGUAACCUGCCCUUAACUCUGGGAUAAGCCUGGGAAACUGGGUCUAAUACCGGAUAGGAGCGUCCACCGCAUGGUGGGUGUUGGAAAGAUUUAUCGGUUUUGGAUGGACUCGCGGCCUAUCAGCUUGUUGGUGAGGUAAUGGCUCACCAAGGCGACGACGGGUAGCCGGCCUGAGAGGGUGACCGGCCACACUGGGACUGAGACACGGCCCAGACUCCUACGGGAGGCAGCAGUGGGGAAUAUUGCACAAUGGGCGCAAGCCUGAUGCAGCGACGCCGCGUGAGGGAUGACGGCCUUCGGGUUGUAAACCUCUUUCAGUAGGGAAGAAGCGAAAGUGACGGUACCUGCAGAAGAGGCACCGGCUAACUACGUG